GGUCGGAAGUUCAAGUCUUCCCAGGCCCACCACACUCAUCGAGUGAGCAUUCGUCUUCUGGUUACGGGGCCAUAGCUCAGCUGGGAGAGCGCGUGCUUUGCAAGCAUGAGGUCGUCGGUUCGAUCCCGUCUGGCUCCACCAGAUGGUUUGAUCACCAUCGAUGACACCGUCGUCCGCGAAACAUCACUUCGCAUCCUGCUAGUCUGGAUAGACAGCAGUUUGCGUGAUUUCUGACAUCGUAAAGAGGAGAUCGAUCCGAGUUGGAUCGUGCAGAGAAUAUCUGCGCGAGACUUCAUUAUCUCCGGAUCAUUUCGGCGCUCGUGCGCCUUUCAGUGCAGCUCACAAGGCUGCGUCUGGAAGAUAUGCGAGUUGUAAAUGAUCCUUUUAGCGAAGCUUGACCGCCUCGCUAUCGGAACGAUCUUACGAAGCAAGCUGGUCUUUCUAAUCAUUGUCCGGCUGCAGAUAGCGUUCAUCGAGGGCGCGUGCCUUAGAGACUUAGGUUUCUUGGUAAUUCUGCAGACAACAUUCUGCCGAGUGUGUGGACAUUGAUAAUGAGAGC
Molecule: transfer RNA, 559 nt
Filed under: Bradyrhizobium sp. S3.128
Lineage: Bacteria; Pseudomonadati; Pseudomonadota; Alphaproteobacteria; Hyphomicrobiales; Nitrobacteraceae
Description: partial 16S-23S ribosomal RNA intergenic spacer
Rfam family: tRNA (bases 66-138)
Source: RNAcentral